AGAGUUUGAUUAUGGCUCAGGACGAACGCUGGCGGUGCGCCUUAUGCAUGCAAGUCGAGCGAAGCUUUUCAGUAGUUUACUACAGAAAAUGACUGAGCGGCGAACGGGUGAGUAACGCGUGAGCAAUCUACCUUAGUUACAGGGAUAGCCCGAGGAAACUCGGAUUAAUACCUGAUAUUCUUUAUUUCUCGCAUGAGAAUAAAAGGAAAGGUCAGCCGAACCAAGAUGAGCUCGCGUUCUAUCAGCUAGUUGGUGAGGUAAAAGCUUACCAAGGCUACGACGGAUAGCUGGUCUGAGAGGACGAUCAGCCACACUGGGACUGAGACACGGCCCAGACUCCUACGGGAGGCUGCAGCAGGGAAUAUUGUGCAAUGAACGAAAGUUUGACACAGCGACACCGCGUGUGGGAUGACGGAUCUAGGUUUGUAAACCACUUUCAGGAGGGAAGAAAAUGACGGUACCUCCACAAGAAGCCCCGGCCAACUACGUGCCAGCAGCCGCGGUAAUAC
RNAcentral lists this ribosomal RNA (509 nucleotides) under uncultured bacterium. Its description in RNAcentral is "bacterial SSU rRNA". It matches the Rfam family "Bacterial small subunit ribosomal RNA", at positions 8 to 526 of the family's 1533-position model. The record is from RNAcentral.